CCUACGGGAGGCAGCAGUAGGGAAUCUUCCACAAUGGGCGAAAGCCUGAUGGAGCAACGCAGCGUGGGUGAAGACGGUCUUCGGAGCGUAAAACCCUGUUGUUAGAGAAGAAAGUGCGUGAGAGUAACUGUUCACGCUUCGACGUUAUCUAACCAGAAAGCCACGGCUAACUACGUGCCAGCAGCCACGGUAAUACGUAGGUGGCAAGCGUGAUCCGGAUUUAUUGGGCGUAAAGGGAACGCAGGCGGUCUUUUAAGUCUGAUGUGAAAGCCUUCGGCUUAACCGGAGUAGUGCAUUGGAAACUGGGAGACUUGAGUGCAGAAGAGGAGAGUGGAACGCCAUGUGUAGCGGUGAAAUGCGUAGAUAUAUGGAAGAACUCCAGUGGCGAAGGCGGCUUGCUGGUCUGUAACUGACGCUGAGGUUCGAAAGCGUGGGUAGCAAACAGGAUUAGAUACCCUAGUAGUC
Molecule: ribosomal RNA, 465 nt
Filed under: uncultured bacterium
Lineage: Bacteria
Description: partial 16S ribosomal RNA
Rfam family: Bacterial small subunit ribosomal RNA
Source: RNAcentral